GAUGAAGAACGUAGCAAAAUGCGAUACUUGGUGUGAAUUGCAGAAUCCCGUGAACCAUCGAGUUUUUGAACGCAAGUUGCGCCCGAAGCCUUUUGGCCGAGGGCACGUCUGCCUGGGCGUCACGCAUCGCGUCGCCCCCCACAAAUUCUCCCGUCAGGGGAGCUUGUGUUUCGGGGGCGGAUACUGGUCUCCCGUGCUCAUGGCGCGGUUGGCCGAAAUAGGAGUCCCUUCGAUGGACGCACGAACUAGUGGUGGUCGUAAAAACCCUCGUCUUUUGUUUCGUGCCGUUAGUCGCGAGGGAAGCUCUUCAAAAACCCCAACGCGUCGUCUCUUGACGGCGCUUCGACCGCGACCCCAGGUCAGGCGGGACUACCCGCUGAGUUUAAGCAUAUCAAUAAGCGGAGGA
This 406-nucleotide unclassified non-coding RNA is filed under the name soil metagenome. RNAcentral's name for it is "partial contains 5.8S ribosomal RNA, internal transcribed spacer 2, and large subunit ribosomal RNA". The stretch from base 1 to 122 matches the Rfam family "5.8S ribosomal RNA", at positions 35 to 154 of the family's 154-position model. The record is from RNAcentral.